Molecule: unclassified non-coding RNA, 162 nt
Filed under: uncultured fungus
Lineage: Eukaryota; Fungi
Description: sequence contains ITS1, 5.8S rRNA gene
Source: RNAcentral
GUGAAUUCUGGAUUCGACUCUGCAAAGAGAAGGUCCAUUUCCACUUUCACACACACUUGUGCACGCGUUUUUUUAUUUUACAAAAUUCACUUUUUGUAAAACAAACACACUUGUGACAACAUCGUACCAGUGGUUGAUGUAAAACUAUGAUAAACGAAAGUA